GCAGCGGAAGGGUAGCGGAGGAGAAGAGAGGGAACUAAGAGCAGCGCGUCGGCGGGAAAGGAAGGAGGUAGGGCGCGGACGGCGACUCGGGGAGGAGAAGGGUCAAGGCGGUCGGAGUAGGAGACGGCGAGCGAGUUAAGCUAGACGUCCCCUCUCUCACUUCUACUCUCCCUUUUCUUCCUUCCUCUCCUCCCACUUUAAAGCCUUUCUCCUAUCCCUCCACGUCGAGACUUACCCUCUCCCAGAGGCGACCGCGACCGGACGCGGCCGCUCCAGCCCGCGCUGGUCCGGUAACCACUACCGAGCUAAGAGAGGAUCUAGCCGAACACGUCACGUCACCACGCCGCCUGCCGGGAGCACGUCACCGGAGUCGCCCACCCGCUGCUGUGGACGUCGACCACGUGUUACCGCUGCCGUACGUCGAGGACACGGGGCGUUGUGAGAGGAAGGUGCGUGUCGUCCUCGCCCUCGUUCCUACGACUCCGUUAUCAAGUCAUCUUCCUUUUACUCCGUCUCUUCCAAAGUGGUUGGAGAAGAUGUGACUGUUUAGAAAAGAAAGGUCGUAACGGUACCUCGUCGCUUACACGAGUACAUUCGAGUAAUGGAACUAAUCGCCGCCGCGGCGAGGAGGAGUUCCGGUGCCCACUUCGUCGUCGCCGCGGCGAGGAGGAGUACCGCUACCGGUGUAGGAGGAGGUGUGGAGGAAACGUGCGCGAAGGGCGAAGGCGAACGAGCAAGAGGCCCACAACAUCAGUCUUGUCCGUCCCACCUCUCCCGUGUGUUUUCGAUCCGUCCGGUGUCUGUUGUCACACGACGUCUGAACUCACUCCUGUUGUCACUCACUGUGACCUGCUUAGGCAGGACCAGCUCGGGGGUGGGUCUGCCGAUGGACGUCUCCUCUACAGUUCCUGUCGAGGGUCAAGCACCGCCUCUGUGGUCGUGUCUAUCCCAAACCCACUCCCAACUAAGGAUGGGACUACCGUCGUUGGGAGGAAGGCGUUGGAACGGGCGGCUCACGUGACUCGACAAAACGACAUGUUUCUCGGAGAGGAAAAGUUACAUGGUACCACAGGGAAAGGUACGAUCGAGAUUUGAAGACGGGAGUAGUAAGGGUACCACAGAUUCUUUUAGUAUCCCUUCUCCGAGAUCCUCUCCCCCAAACCAAAAUGAAAAGACCAAAACGUUGUGCUACGCUGCUUAAAGAGGACGUACAUACCGAAGUAAGGAAGUAAAUGGUAUACGUUUAGAACCAGAAGUUAAACGAACCAAAGCAUACUCACUGGCCUCUAAUGACACUACGAUACAUUCGGAUGUCACAUCUCACUUAGUCUAUACACGAUCCAGGUGAUUAAAUCGAGUAAUGGAACGAAGUGACAACACAUCUACGUUUUGAACAAAAGGGAACACGACUUAAACGGUGAUAAAAAGUAAAGACGAGUAAGACUAGAUUGGUUUCACAGGACUACCUAAACUCCGAGAACGCGUACAGACCAAACCUGUACGGGAAUAAAAAAUAGUCUAGUGAUUUGAUUUGACAUAUUAUUUUAUCUGGGGGGAGGAAAGGUUGUGGAAUAAAUAAUAAUCUCGUUCGUUGUUGUACAAUAGUAUAAGCCAAAGAACACUCAUCGUGAAGUCAAAUCUAACGGUAUAUGAGAAACCAUAUAUCGUAAAAACGGAUGUGUAAACGGGUAAAGCGUAUCUUUCUACCAAACGAAACCUCCCCUUAAUCUAUUCCGGGUACUCAGGAUUCAUUCACACUAUUCGUUCGGGACGUGAAGAUAAAUGAUAAUUCGUAGUCGAUUUAAAGACUAUUACCGUAAAGUCUCUAUUAUGUUAGUUAGGUUGACAAUUGAAACCACACGAAAAACCUAUCCUGAUUAUACUUCUGCGACCGAUCGAGCGUAACGGUAGUAUAUAAGAUCUUCGUUCUCGUUCCUAAUAUCGCUUUUAUUUCCAUAUACGACUAUUGUUUCCCCAACCUCACCACGGGACACCACUGUCGGCUGUCACCUCUUUCUACUCUCCACCGCGUUUGUACUACCGGUUUGGACACCACGAAACGUUCCAUAGAUUAUACCGAUUUACGCAUUGCUUUUCCAGACAGAAGGAUCGGAGUAUCUAGGUUGUCAUCGUGCUUAUUCGUUUCCUAUAAACAAAAGUUUCGGAGACAAUGCUCACUUUACGCCGUUACCUUCGUUCCUUAGCACCGAAUGAAGAUAAGCCUAAGGUAUAGAUGAUCCUGUUAGGACUAUAGGAAGAGUAGUAAAUAUAAACUAAGAAACCUCUAAGUAUUUCUUCCUUACGUAGGUGUUAGAACCAUAUUUUAAACAAACCUACCAAGUCUUAGAAAUCUACCGUACCUACUCUGUAUUAAACAACAUAAGUCUAUAAAAAGUACCAAUGUCGUCAGAACGAGGAAGCCGGGAAGUUGUUGUCAAGUGGCUAAUCAAAUAGUCAGCCGCCGUCGUCCGUUGUGCUCGCCUCUUCCAUCACUCCCUUCCUCUUCUUCGUCGUUUGUAGUCGUCUGUGGGGUGUGGGCAGCACCGCAGGACCUCCCGGGAGCGAUGCCUACCGUCGCCUUCAACCGUUCCGGCCGCCGGUCGCCAACCGUCGUCGCUCUUCGCGCUCACUUUCUGGACCAACUAAACCCUUUCCCUCCUCUUGUCUCCUGACCAGCUAAAUAACUUUCUUCUUGUCUAUUCCAAACCAUCUAAACCCCCUUUCCUCCUCUCUGCUCGCACGCACCGUCGUCCAUCAGCCACAUAACCUG
Molecule: ribosomal RNA, 2770 nt
Filed under: Triticum aestivum (bread wheat)
Lineage: Eukaryota; Viridiplantae; Streptophyta; Magnoliopsida; Poales; Poaceae
Description: partial small subunit ribosomal RNA
Source: RNAcentral